Molecule: ribosomal RNA, 433 nt
Filed under: uncultured bacterium
Lineage: Bacteria
Description: partial 16S ribosomal RNA
Rfam family: Bacterial small subunit ribosomal RNA
Source: RNAcentral
AAUGAACGCUGGCGGCAGGCCUAACACAUGCAAGUCGAGCGAGCAUUUCGGUGCUAGCGGCGGACGGGUGAGUAACGCGUGGGAACGUGCCCUUUUCUGCGGAAUAGUCCUGGGAAACUGGGGGUAAUACCGCAUACGCCCUUUUGGGGAAAGAUUUAUCGGAGAAGGAUCGGCCCGCGUUGGAUUAGGUAGUUGGUGGUGUAAUGGCCCACCAAGCCGACGAUCCAUAGCUGGUUUGAGAGGAUGAUCAGCCACACUGGGACUGAGACACGGCCCAGACUCCUACGGGAGGGAGCAGUGGGGAAUCUUAGACAAUGGGGGCAACCCUGAUCAAGCCAUGCCGCGUGAGUGAUGAAGGCCUUAGGGUUGUAAAGCUCUUUCAGCUGGGAAGAUAAUGACGGUACCAGCAGAAGAAGCCCCGGCUAACUCCGUG